UACGUAGGUGGCAAGCGUUGUCCGGAUUUAUUGGGUUUAAAGGGUGCGUAGGCGGCCGCUUAAGUCAGUUGUGAAAUAUCCCGGCUCAACCGGGAGGGUGCGAUUGAUACUGGGCGGCUCGAGUAACAGCGAGGUUGGCGGAAUUGACGGUGUAGCGGUGAAAUGCAUAGAUAUCGUCAAGAACACCGAUAGCGAAGGCAGCCAACUAGGGGUUAACUGACGCUGAGGCACGAAAGUGCGGGGAUCAAACAGG
RNAcentral lists this ribosomal RNA (253 nucleotides) under uncultured bacterium. RNAcentral describes it as "partial 16S ribosomal RNA". It matches the Rfam family "Bacterial small subunit ribosomal RNA", at positions 524 to 776 of the family's 1533-position model. RNAcentral also lists the same sequence under 1 other name. The record is from RNAcentral.